AGCAAUGUAGCGCAGUGGAAGCGUGAUGGGCUCAUAACCCAUAGGUCGUAGGAUCGAAACCUACCAUUGCUA
Molecule: non-coding RNA, 72 nt
Organism: Cladochytrium replicatum
Lineage: Eukaryota; Fungi; Chytridiomycota; Chytridiomycetes; Cladochytriales; Cladochytriaceae
Source: the annotation of a GenBank genome assembly